Molecule: long non-coding RNA, 1920 nt
Organism: Oncorhynchus tshawytscha (Chinook salmon)
Lineage: Eukaryota; Metazoa; Chordata; Actinopteri; Salmoniformes; Salmonidae
Source: Ensembl
GGGGUGGAUUAGCUUUUUGUCUGUUGAAACACUAAUGAUACUUACCAUGAAGCUUUUCUUUGUUCUGGUUUGAACAAACUAAAGCCUUGUAGUUGUUGGGAUAAAUAAGCCAAGCGUUUGAGUGAUUGUUGGGAGGGAAAUGUUGAGUAGAUUCUAAAUAUACCAAAUUCCUUUUUGAGACAGAUUAGGCCUUUGUGUUUUGACAUUUUUGCUCCAGUGCUGGCCAUUAACAGUGUUUUGGUAAGGGACAGGUGGAGAGGUUAGAGGAGAGACAACACAGGGGUGAAAUCCCUCCAGGGUGUGGAUGGAAAUGAGUGGACCCUGCCAUUGUUUCACUGUGUUGCUCUUAUUGUAUAAUUUCCCUUCUUCCUCAGAUCUUUCCUACAUGAGGUCAGAGCGAUAGCUACCGCGGAAACGUAUGGUGGACAGCACGUUCACUGUUCCAGACCCCCGGCUGCCCUUUUCAUCACGAGCAGAGAGCCGUCCUCCCACCUGAUCCACAGCUUUUGUCUAUAUUUCCUUUGAUUGAGAGACUUUGACAAAGACAUCAAUGGGACAGACACCAAGUGAAAGCAUAAGGGCACACUCAUCCACCUCCACUCCUGCAGUAUGCCAAUGACAUGGCCUUCACCACACACAUCUAAGCCUUUCGCUUUGUCACUAACAUUUUGUUUUUCCCACCCUCGUGUUUGGAGGACGAGGGAGAGACAUCAUCUGUGAUCAUAUCUGCUUGUUAGAGUCAGACUGAUUUUCUUGGGAGAGCUUUUGGACAAUUACUGGAUGGACAUAAAAGGAUCUGAAUGCUGACUAACCUAAGAAUGACCCAUUUUAGGGUAAUUUGCUUCUGGUGGUCAGAGGAUCAAAGAGAAGGGCCAUUGAGUUGUUUUAACGAGCCCCCACCCCAUCAACAUUUCCACAUAAACUCUGUUUAUUUGAAUUUACUGUCAAUCCCUGAUUACCUUCUUGGAUGUCCUUUUUUUGGGGUGUUGACUUAACUUACUAUGUUUGGCAGAAACUUACCGGAACUGGGUCAAAGAUGGGGGGUUUGGGGGAGAGGGAGGGUUGGUUUUAUUCCAGAUCACGCUCUCUUGAGUAGGGGGAUGACCUCAGUAAUCUGAUUAUUGUCUCUGUUAUCAUAAGGCAUUCCAACUACUUUUAAUAACUCUGACUGCGUGCCUGCAAUGGCUUUGCAGCUAAACAAACGUAUUAGGUGUGCCUGAACUCUAGUAAAGUCAGAGGCUAAAAGCACUGGGGUGCAUUGUUGGACAGUGACGCACCUUUAACCUGAAGCAAUAGGAUAGUCUAAUAUGUGACAAUUCAUUGUGAGGGCAAUGGUAUUGGUAAAUCAUCACUAAAGUGGUAUGACUCAUAUGUCAAUCAAGGCAACAACCUUAAUCAGAUAAUAUACUGUGUGUUGUUUGAUUCAUGAUUUUAUGUGAAUAAAAUGAGAAAUGGUCAUAAUAGCGCCCACAUAUUCUUUAGUGGAAAUGAAAUAGGUCUCUCUUUUUGACAGCACACUUGGAAUUGGACACAGUUUUGUAUUUAAUACCCGCUGAUAAAAGUGUGUGUUGAUUUGGAAUUAUAGACGCUUCCGGCCAAAUACCAGUUCAAGUUCUGAUCCAGCCCUGUUUUGUCUUGAACUUUACACAGCAUUUUGAACUGCAUGUGGCCUUUAUGAGAUUAGGUUAUGCACACAUGAUAAAGAUUACAAAUGUCAACAAAAAAAUGGCUGUGCUUGUUAAGGGGUGUGUGACUUGUGCUGUGUCUUUCAAAGUACUUAGAGUGCAGUGUUUUCCACAUGUAGUAUGUGGACAGUUGGAAUUCAUCAUUGUCACUACCAUUAUCAUUAUCACUGGGAAAUAAUUGGUGGUCUGACACUCAAAAAAACGAAAGUCCUCAGCUUUAUCAAUGAAUGAUAGG